UCAACAUCGAUGGAGCAUUAUGGAAUAAAAGUUCUAUAAUGAUCAGCUUCAGACCAGAGACGUUUCAACUCGGUGGCAUAUUCAGUGAUAGAUAAAUCUCCCUGACGAAGCUGACGUAAUUGAGAACGGAUCUCAAAUGCUUGAGCAGAAUUCUGCUUUUGUGAGAAUAUUUGGGCCACCGUCUCCCAGACUUCAUGUGC
RNAcentral lists this long non-coding RNA (200 nucleotides) under Elaeis guineensis (African oil palm). RNAcentral's name for it is "long non-coding RNA (EGUI_LNC059499)". The record is from RNAcentral. Lineage: Eukaryota; Viridiplantae; Streptophyta; Magnoliopsida; Arecales; Arecaceae.